Molecule: ribosomal RNA, 437 nt
Filed under: uncultured Pseudomonadota bacterium
Lineage: Bacteria; Pseudomonadati; Pseudomonadota
Description: bacterial SSU rRNA
Rfam family: Bacterial small subunit ribosomal RNA
Source: RNAcentral
GCGAGAAAGUUUCUUCGGAAAUGAGUAAAGCGGCGAACGGGUGAGUAACGCGUAGGAAUCUACCAUUCAGCGGGGGAUAGCUCGAGGAAACUCGAAUUAAUACCGCAUACACCCUACGGGGGAAAGAAGGCCUCUCCUUGGAAGCUUUCACUGUUUGAUGAGCCUGCGUGAGAUUAGUUUGUUGGUGAGGUAAUGGCUCACCAAGACUACGAUCUCUAGCUGGUCUGAGAGGACGAUCAGCCACACUGGGACUGAGACACGGCCCAGACUCCUACGGGAGGCAGCAGUAGAGAAUAUUGGACAAUGGGGGCAACCCUGAUCCAGGCAUGCCGCGUGUGUGAAGAAGGCCUUAGGGUUGUAAAGCACUUUAGGUAAGGAAGAAAAGUUAAUAGUUAAUACCUGUUGACCGUGACAUUACUUACAGAAUAAGGACCGGC